GCGCCCGUAGCUCAAUGGAUAGAGCCGCGCUCUUCUAAGGCGUUGAUGUUGGUUCGAUUCCAGCCGGGCGCACCA
RNAcentral lists this transfer RNA (75 nucleotides) under Patescibacteria group bacterium. RNAcentral describes it as "tRNA-Arg". It matches the Rfam family "tRNA". From Rfam's summary of the family: Transfer RNA (tRNA) molecules are approximately 80 nucleotides in length. The record is from RNAcentral.